Non-coding RNA from Capsicum annuum, 2029 nucleotides. Lineage: Eukaryota; Viridiplantae; Streptophyta; Magnoliopsida; Solanales; Solanaceae. The record is from Rfam.
AGGCUUACGGUGGAUACCUAUGCACCCAGAGAUGGGGAAAGGCAUAGUAAUCAAUGAAAUACUUUGGCCAGUUAAAAAUAAGCAUAAAUCUGGAGAUUCCCGAAUAGGGAAACCUUUUGCACUACUGCAGAAUCCAUGGGAAGGCAAGAGACAACCUAGCAAACUGAAACAUCUUAGUAGCCAGAGAAAAAGAAAGCAAAAAUGAUUCCCGUGGCAGCGACGAGCAAAAUGGGAGUAGCCUAAACCGUGAAAAUAGGGUUGUGAGAGAGCAAUACAAGUGUCGUGCUACUAGGAGAAGCAACCUGAAUGCUGCACCGUAGAUGGCAAAAGACCAGUAGCCAAAAUCAUCACUUUCUUACACUAUAACGCGAGUAGCAUGGGGCACGUGGAAUCCUGUGAGAAUCAGCAAGGACCACCUUGCAAGGCUAAAUACUCCUGGGUGACCAAUAGCGAAGUAGUACCAUAAGGGAAGGGUGAAAAGAAUCCCCAUCGUGGAGUAAAAUAGAACAUAAAACCAUAAGCUCCCAAGUAGUGAGAGGAUCCAGGACUCUGACGGUGUGCCUGUUGAAGAAUGAGUCGGUGACUCAUAGGCAGUAGCUUGGUUAAGGGAACCUACCAGAGCCAUAGAAAAAGCGAGUCUUCAUAGGGCAAUUACCACUGCUUAUGGACCCGAACCUGGGAGAUCUAUCCAUGACCAGGAUGAAGCUUGGGUGAAACUAAGUAGAGGUCCAGACCUACUAAUGUUAAAGAAUCAGCGGAUGAGUUAUGGUUAGGGGUGAAAUAUCACUCGAACCCAGAGCUAGCUGGUUCUCCCCAAAAUGUGUUGAGGCACAGCAGUUGACUGGAUAUCAUAUGGUAAAGAACUAUUUUAGUGCGGGCUGCAAAAGUGGUACCAAAUUGCGGCAAACUCUAAAUACUAGGUAUGGCCUUAAAAAAGAUGGGUCAAAGUCGGCUAAUGAGAUGAUGGUGGAUAAGCUUCAUCGUCUAGAGGGAAACAACCUGAAUCACCAGCUAAGGACCCUAAAUGACUGCUCAGUGAUAAAGGAGGUAGGGGUGAGAGAUAGAAAGGAGGUUUGCCUAGAAUCAGCCAUUCUUGAAAGAGUGCGUAAUAGCUCACCAAUCGAGCGCUCUUGCGCCGAAGAUGAAUGGGGCUAAGCGAUCUGCCGAAGCUGUGGGGUAUAAAAAUACAUUAGUAGGGGAGAAUUCCAUCUUAGAGGCAAGCCUUCGUGUGAGAGGUGGUAGAUGAAGCGGAAGCGAGAAAAUCGACUUGAGUAACGCAAACAUUAGUGAGAAUCCAAUGCCUCGAAAACCUAAGGGUUCCUCUACAAGGUUGGUCCACGGAGGGUGAGUUAGGGCCUAAGAUCAGGCCGAAAGGCAUAGUCGAUGGACAAUAGGUGAAUAUUCCUGUACUACCCCUUAUUGGUCCUGAGGGACGGAGGAGGCUAGGUUAGCUGAAAGAUGUUCAUCAGUUCAAGAACGUAAAGUGUCCCUACCCUUUUUUCAGCGUAACAAGGGGUAGAAAAAAUACCUCGAGCCAAUGUUCGAAUAACAGGCACUACAACGUUGAAGUAACCCAUGUCAUCAUCCCAGGAAAAGAUCGAAUAACUUUCAGCAAGAGGGUACCUGUACCCGAAACCAACACAGAUAGGUAGGUAGGUAGAGAAUACCUAGGGGCGCGAUACAAAUCUCUCUAAGGAACUCAGCAAAAUAGCCCCAUAACUUCGGAAAAAGGGGUGACCCUUCACAUCACAAAGGGGGUCAUAGUGACCAGGCCUGGGCGACAGUUUACCAAAAACACAGGUCUCCGCAAAGUCGUUGACCAUGUAUAGGGGCUGACGCCUGCCUAGUACCAAAAGGUCAAGGAAGUUGGUGACCUGAUUGCAGGGGAGCCGACGACCGAAGCCCUGAUGAACGGCGGUCGUAACUAUAACGAUCCUAAGGUAGAGAAACUCCUUGUUGGGUAAGUUCUGACCCGCACGAAAGGCAUAAUGAUCUGGGCACUGCCUCGAAGAGAGGCUCAGUGAAAUAG